This 450-nucleotide ribosomal RNA is filed under the name uncultured bacterium. RNAcentral's name for it is "partial 16S ribosomal RNA". It matches the Rfam family "Bacterial small subunit ribosomal RNA", at positions 354 to 796 of the family's 1533-position model. The record is from RNAcentral.
GUGGGGAAUUUUGGACAAUGGGGGAAACCCUGAUCCAGCCAUGCCGCGUGCGGGAUGAAGGCCUUCGGGUUGUAAACCGCUUUUGUCAGAGACGAAAAGGGACGUACGAAUAAUACGUUCCGCUGACGGUAUCUGAAGAAUAAGCACCGGCUAACUACGUGCCAGCAGCCGCGGUAAUACGUAGGGUGCAAGCGUUAAUCGGAAUUACUGGGCGUAAAGGGUGCGCAGGCGGCUGUGCAAGACAGAUGUGAAAUCCCCGGGCUUAACCUGGGAACUGCAUUUGUGACUGCACGGCUAGAGUUUGUCAGAGGAGGGUGGAAUUCCGCGUGUAGCAGUGAAAUGCGUAGAUAUGCGGAAGAACACCAAUGGCGAAGGCAGCCCUCUGGGACAUGACUGACGCUCAUGCACGAAAGCGUGGGGAGCAAACAGGAUUAGAAACCCGAGUAGUCC